This 1755-nucleotide long non-coding RNA is filed under the name Nicotiana benthamiana. Its description in RNAcentral is "long non-coding RNA (NBEN_LNC019289)". The record is from RNAcentral. Lineage: Eukaryota; Viridiplantae; Streptophyta; Magnoliopsida; Solanales; Solanaceae.
UUUCCCUAUACAGUCUGUCCCAUGGCCAGACAGACUAGACUUCCUUUUCCUGAUAGCUCCAUUAAGACUUCUAGACCUUUUCAACUGAUUCAUGUGGACACCUGAGGACCUUAUCAUACUCCAACCUCUUCUGGUUGUAAAUAUUUUCUUACAAUUGUUGAUGACUUUUCAAGGGCAACUUGGACACACCUAUUAGGAUCCAAAAGCAAUGCUUUUACUAUGCUUAAAUCAUUUCUUUCUCUAGUCAGAACCCAAUUUAAUGCUGUGGUUCAGAUUAGAAGUGACAAUGCUUUGGAAUUGUGGNNNNNNNNNACUUGGACACACCUAUUGGGAUCCAAAAGCAAUGCUUUUACUAUGCUUAAGUCAUUUCUUUCUCUGGUCAGAACCCAAUUUAAUGCUGUGGUUCAGACUAUUAGAAGUGACAAUGCUUUGGAAGUGGGGUCUAGCAAUGAGGGUAUUUCUUUCUUUAGCAGCCAGGGGAUCAUACAUCAAAUCUCCUGUCCUCACACCCCUCAACAGAAUGGUGUUGUUGAGAGAAAACAUAGAACUCUCCUUGAAACCUGUAGGGCAUUGCUUUUCCAAUCUGGCUUGCCAGUAUCUUUCUGGGGGGAUUGCUUGUUGACUGCUACCUAUCUCCAUAACAGAAUACCCACCAGAUUGCUUCAUAAUAAGUCUCCUCAUGAAAUUUUGUAUGGGAAAAUUCUAACCUAUACUCACUUGAGGACUUUUGGUUGCCUUGACUAUGCCACUGUUCCCAUCCCUCAAAGGGACAAGUUAAGGCCAAGAGCCAUUCCUUGUGUUUUCCUGAGAUAUCCUUUUGCACUCACUUGAGGACUUUUGGUUGCCUUGCCUAUGCUACUGUUCCCAUCCCUCAAAGGGACAAGUUAAAGCCUAGAGCCAUCCCUUGUGUUUUCCUGGGUUAUCCUUUCGGCAAAAAGGGUUAUAGAUAAUAUGAUCUUGCAUCUAAGAAGUAUUUGGUCUCCAGGGAUGUUCUCUUUCAUGAAUCAUAUUUUCCUUUUAAAUCUAUGCCUCCUUCUACUCCUCUUCCUGCUUCUCCUUAUCCCUUCUUUCCAUCUGGAGAAUAUGAUGAUUCCUCUUAUUCUCCCAUUCCCCUCUCUCCUCCCUCUUCUCCCUCAUCUGUGCAGAUGCCUUUUCCUGUCCCUGUCACUAUCCCCAGUGCUUCAGUCUUCCCUUCUCCUUUCAAUCCUGCUGGUUCACCUCCUGUUUUAGCUUCUUCUCCCCCUAUUCCUGCUCCCAGAAAGUCUCAAAGAAAUCACAAUCCUCCUUCAUAUCUUAAGGAUUAUGAUUUCUUUGAGACUUUCUGGGAGCAGGAAUAGGGGGAGAAGAAGCUAAAACAGGAGGUGAACCAGCAGGAUUGAAAGAUAUCUUAAGGAUUAUGUCUGUCAACUCCCUACCUUCUCUGGCUCGUCUUUCUCCUCUUUGGAAUCUGAGCCUCUAUAUUACUCUCAGGCUGCAUCUGUUCCAGCAUGGCAAGCUGCCAUGAGACAGGAGUUUGAAGCUUUGGACACUAACCAUACUUGGGAUGUUGUCCCUCUUGCUCCUGGUAAGAAACCCAUUGGUUGCAAAUGAGUUUACAAAAUAAAAUACAAGGCUGAUGGCAGUGUUGAAAUGUAUAAAGCCAGGUUGGUUAUUAGGGGUGACACACAGGUUGAGGGGAUUGAUUUUACAGACACUUUCUCUCCAGUGAUUAAAAUGACUUCUGUGAAGUGCCUUAUUGCUGUGGCUGUCAAGAAU